RNAcentral lists this transfer RNA (72 nucleotides) under Ovis aries (sheep). It matches the Rfam family "tRNA". From Rfam's summary of the family: Transfer RNA (tRNA) molecules are approximately 80 nucleotides in length. Their secondary structure includes four short double-helical elements and three loops (D, anti-codon, and T loops). The record is from Rfam by way of RNAcentral. Lineage: Eukaryota; Metazoa; Chordata; Mammalia; Artiodactyla; Bovidae.
UCCCUGGUGGCUCAGACGGUAAAGCGUCUGCAUAUAACGCAGGAGACCCAGGUUCAAUCCCUAGGUCGGGAA